RNAcentral lists this ribosomal RNA (119 nucleotides) under Octopus vulgaris (common octopus). RNAcentral also lists the same sequence under 1 other name. The record is from RNAcentral. Lineage: Eukaryota; Metazoa; Mollusca; Cephalopoda; Octopoda; Octopodidae.
GCUUACAGCCAUAUCACGUUGAAAGCACCGGUUCUCGUCCAAUCACCCAAGUUAAGCAACGUUGAGCCUAGUAAGUACUUAGAUGGAUGACCACUUGGGAAACCUAGGUGCUGUAAGUG